CGACCGGCGCACGGGUGCGUAACGCGUAUGCAACCUACCUUUAACAGGGGGAUAACACUGAGAAAUUGGUACUAAUACCCCAUAAUAUCAUAGAAGGCAUCUUUUAUGGUUGAAAAUUCCGAUGGUUAGAGAUGGGCAUGCGUUGUAUUAGCUAGUUGGUGGGGUAACGGCUCACCAAGGCGACGAUACAUAGGGGGACUGAGAGUUAACCCCCCACACUGGUACUGAGACACGGACCAG
Molecule: ribosomal RNA, 240 nt
Filed under: uncultured bacterium
Lineage: Bacteria
Description: partial 16S ribosomal RNA
Rfam family: Bacterial small subunit ribosomal RNA
Source: RNAcentral